UACGUAGGGUGCAAGCGUUAAUCGGAAUUACUGGGCGUAAAGCGUGCGCAGGCGGUGAUGUAAGACAGAUGUGAAAUCCCCGGGCUCAACCUGGGAACUGCAUUUGUGACUGCAUCGCUGGAGUACGGCAGAGGGGGAUGGAAUUCCGCGUGUAGCAGUGAAAUGCGUAGAUAUGCGGAGGAACACCGAUGGCGAAGGCAUCCCUGGGCCUGAUCACGUGACGCUCAUGCACGAAAGCGUGGGGAGCAA
RNAcentral lists this ribosomal RNA (249 nucleotides) under uncultured bacterium. RNAcentral's name for it is "partial 16S ribosomal RNA". It matches the Rfam family "Bacterial small subunit ribosomal RNA", at positions 524 to 771 of the family's 1533-position model. The record is from RNAcentral.